This 253-nucleotide ribosomal RNA is filed under the name uncultured bacterium. Its description in RNAcentral is "partial 16S ribosomal RNA". It matches the Rfam family "Bacterial small subunit ribosomal RNA", at positions 524 to 776 of the family's 1533-position model. The record is from RNAcentral.
UACAGAGGGGGCAAGCGUUGUUCGGAAUUACUGGGCGUAAAGAGCUCGUAGGUGGUUUGUCGCGUUGUUCGUGAAAACUCACAGCUUAACUGUGGGCGUGCGGGCGAUACGGGCAGACUGGAGUACUGCAGGGGAGACUGGAAUUCCUGGUGUAGCGGUGGAAUGCGCAGAUAUCAGGAGGAACACCGGUGGCGAAGGCGGGUCUCUGGGCAGUAACUGACGCUGAGGAGCGAAAGCGUGGGGAGCGAACAGG